CCGGUCGGCUGCUGGAUCUUUUGGGGGCCGUCGGAGCCCCACGACAGCCAUCCUUGCCGGGGCGGUACCGGUACCCUGAGAGCUGAGGCCUUCCUAUUCCCUGAACAAUAUUGAAAUAAGGCCAAUAAAUAACCCUACAGUUACCUCUUAAGUGUUCA
Molecule: long non-coding RNA, 158 nt
Filed under: Monodelphis domestica (gray short-tailed opossum)
Lineage: Eukaryota; Metazoa; Chordata; Mammalia; Didelphimorphia; Didelphidae
Description: lncRNA (ENSMODG00000048597.1)
Source: RNAcentral